GUUUGAUGUUUUAUUAUAGCAAACAACAAACUCGAUAUAUAAACAAGAUAAAUCCUGUUCAUCAGUGAAUCCUGCACCUCUCAGAACGCAGGUGUUUCACUGUCAGAAAAAUAAAAGAGAUUGUCCUUUGUGUUUUCCAGCAGACAGGCUGAGUUUCGUGUGGCUGCAUGUGUGUUGAUCUGAUCUGAUGUCUGCGGGGAAACAAGAGCACGGCCGUGUCGUGAUAACCUAGAGCCACGUCCAGUGCUGAUGAAGACUGUGCUAAAUUUCAGAGGGAGAGCAGAGGCGGGUGACGUCACGUGACCUGUGUCAAACUCACAACACGAGUUCAGAAGACGUUCUGUGUGAUGUGCAGAGCUGCUGAGGAAUUCAUGUGAAGCUGUUUGGACUCUCAUUCUGACGGCACCCAUUCACUCCAGAGGAUUCAUUAGUGAGCAAGUGAAGGAAUACUACAUUUCUCCAGAUAUGAUGAAGAAACAAACUCAUCUACAUUUUUGGAUGGCCUGAAUGGACAUUUUUAAUGUGGAUCUUGAUAAUGGAGAUGAGUGAGUGCUGUGGAGCUGUCAGGGGAAUGAGAUCAGACACACCUGCUGUGAAUUGUCAAGCGAUGCCCUUGAGCCUCACUAUUCGUAUUUUUCUUUAUUCCAAGGCUGCUUCUUCAUGCUGUGAAG
Long non-coding RNA from Cyprinus carpio carpio, 671 nucleotides. The record is from Ensembl. Lineage: Eukaryota; Metazoa; Chordata; Actinopteri; Cypriniformes; Cyprinidae.